This is a non-coding RNA of Amaranthus tricolor (Joseph's coat), 74 nucleotides long. The record is from the annotation of a RefSeq genome assembly. NCBI's taxonomy places the organism in Eukaryota, Viridiplantae, Streptophyta, Magnoliopsida, Caryophyllales, Amaranthaceae.
GGCUUAUUAGCUCAGUUGGUUAGAGCGUUGUGCUAAUAACGCGAGGGUUGCAGAUUCGAGACCUGCACAGGCCA